CCUACGGGGAGCAGCAGUGGGGAAUCUUGCGCAAUGGGCGAAAGCCUGACGCAGCGACGCCGCGUGAGGGAUGAAGGUCUUCGGAUCGUAAACCUCUGUCAGCAGGGAAGUACGGUCACUGUGCUAAUCAGCAGUGAAUUGACGGUACCUGCAAAGGAAGCACCGGCUAACUCCGUGCCCGCAGCCGCGGUAAUACGGAGGGUGCGAGCGUUAAUCGGAAUUACUGGGCGUAAAGCGCGCGUAGGCGGUAUGUCAAGUCAAGGGUGAAAUCCCCGCGCUCAACGGGGGAACUGCCUUUGAAACUGGCAAACUGGAGUGUGUGAGAGGAUAGUGGAAUUCCAGGUGUAGGAGUGAAAUCCGUAGAUAUCUGGAGGAACAUCAGUGGCGAAGGCGACUAUCUGGCACAUAACUGACGCUGAGGAGCGAAAGCGUGGGUAGCAAACAGGAUUAGAUACCCGAGUAGUC
RNAcentral lists this ribosomal RNA (465 nucleotides) under uncultured bacterium. Its description in RNAcentral is "partial 16S ribosomal RNA". It matches the Rfam family "Bacterial small subunit ribosomal RNA", at positions 338 to 795 of the family's 1533-position model. The record is from RNAcentral.